Long non-coding RNA from Erinaceus europaeus (western European hedgehog), 975 nucleotides. RefSeq lists it as uncharacterized. The transcript has 3 exons. The record is from RefSeq and is a predicted model, not a curated record. Lineage: Eukaryota; Metazoa; Chordata; Mammalia; Eulipotyphla; Erinaceidae.
GCGGGAGUCGCCGCCGCCGCCUCUCCAGCCGCGUCAGAACAGAAGAGAGGAAGGGGAGGAGUCGGGGGGGAGCCUAGGCUGCCGCUGGUCUGAACCCUGACCCCGGGGCGGCCUGCGAGCGCGCUUCCAAGAGCCGGUCCCUUCGGGGCCGGUGGUGGCGGCUGCUCGGGAGGCCGGGGCGGCCCCGCUGGGGCGCUCAGCACCCGGAUGUGAGGCACUUGCCCCCCGGCGGCCCCGGAACAGCGGGGCUGCGGGAAGUCCUGCGCCCGCGCCGCUGCACCUGCUCGGCGAGCGCGCCUCGCCCCGCCCCGCCCCGCCCCGCCCGCGCUGCGGUGACACCGGCGCCCAGUAACGUGUGGACCGACGGACGGACGGACGGGUGGAUGCCUCCCUCUCGUGGGCCUCGCUCAGAGGAGCCUCCAGGUUCCGGAUGCCAGCAUGAUACCAGACUUCCCUGGACUGAUGACCCCACCAAUGUGUCCUGGAGCCCCGCUUCCCCAGAAACCCACCCUACUAGGGAAAGAGAGGCAGACUGGGAGUAUGGACCGACCAGUCAAUGUCCAUGUUCAUCGGAGAAGCAGUUACAGAAGCCAGACCUUCCACCUUUUGCAACCCACAAUGACCCUGGGUCCAUACUCCCAGAGGGAUAGAGAAUGGGAAAGCUAUUGGGGAGGGGAUGGGAUAUGGAGAUCGGGUGGUGGGAAUUGUGUGGAGUUGUACCCCUCCUAUCCUGCAGUUUUGUUAAUGUCUCCUUUCUUUUUUUUUUUUUUUUUUUAAAAAGACUAAUCUAUGGUGACAAGAAAGAUCAAUGGUUACCAGGGAGUGGAGACUAGGUGUGCAGGAAGGAGGCAUACACAGGCAGCUCACAAAUGGAUCAGAAGCUGUUUCCAGCUGGUUCUCUCAUCACUCUGUACACCUGCCCCAGCCCUGACAUGCCGGCCUGUUGUCUGCAGUCCGAAUGGCUGAUGCCCUUGC